UCUUUGAAAAGCCAGGGGAUGACUUGUGGAUCGGAGUGAAAGGCUAAUCAAGCCCGGAGAUAGCUGGUUCUCCCCGAAAGCUAUUUAGGUAGCGCCUCGGACGAAUACCACAGGGGGUAGAGCACUGUUUCGGCUAGGGGGUCAUCCCGACUUACCAACCCGAUGCAAACUCCGAAUACCAGUGAGAUGUAUCAUG
This 196-nucleotide ribosomal RNA is filed under the name Vannella robusta. RNAcentral's name for it is "Vannella sp. CB-2014 partial Bacterial large subunit ribosomal RNA". It matches the Rfam family "Bacterial large subunit ribosomal RNA", at positions 786 to 980 of the family's 2925-position model. The record is from RNAcentral. Lineage: Eukaryota; Discosea; Flabellinia; Vannellidae.